This 343-nucleotide transfer-messenger RNA is filed under the name bovine gut metagenome. It matches the Rfam family "transfer-messenger RNA". Rfam says of the family: Bacterial tmRNA, also known as 10Sa RNA or SsrA, is named for its dual tRNA and mRNA-like properties. The record is from RNAcentral.
GGGGAUGUUCUGGAUUCGACAGGGAAACAGAGUGCAGAAUAAGCAUGCCGAAGGCUCGUCUUCGUAAAAACGGAAACUUAAAUUUAAACGCAAACAAAAGCGAAUUUGCUCUAGCUGCCUAAGUGCCUGGAGCCGUUCCUCAAAAAGGUCCACGAUUUUGAAGGGGCGUCAGCAGUGGAAAAGGGUUAAUAGUAUAGCUCGAUGCUAUUAACAAGAUUUAGAGCUUGCCGAAGCAAACUAUCGUUAAUGCAGGUUGUUAGGGACUAAAUCGCGUUAUCUAAGCAUGUAGAAGGUUCUGUGCAAAUUUCUUUGGACCGGAGUUCAAUUCUCCGCAUCUCCACCA